UGGGGAAUAUUGCGCAAUGGGCGAAAGCCUGACGCAGCGACGCCGCGUGCGGGAUGAAGGCCUUCGGGUUGUAAACCGCUUUCAGCAGGGACGAGGCCGCAAGGUGACGGUACCUGCAGAAGAAGCCCCGGCUAACUACGUGCCAGCAGCCGCGGUAAUACGUAGGGGGCGAGCGUUAUCCGGAUUCAUUGGGCGUAAAGCGCGCGUAGGCGGCUUGUUAGGUCGGAGGUUAAAGACCGAGGCUCAACCUCGGCACGCCUCCGAUACCGGCAGGCUUGAGUGUGGUAGAGGAAGGUGGAAUUCCCAGUGUAGCGGUGGAAUGCGCAGAUAUUGGGAAGAACACCAGCGGCGAAGGCGGCCUUCUGGGCCAUUACUGACGCUGAGGCGCGAAAGCUAGGGGAGCAAACAGG
RNAcentral lists this ribosomal RNA (410 nucleotides) under uncultured bacterium. RNAcentral describes it as "bacterial SSU rRNA". It matches the Rfam family "Bacterial small subunit ribosomal RNA", at positions 355 to 776 of the family's 1533-position model. The record is from RNAcentral.